Molecule: unclassified non-coding RNA, 520 nt
Filed under: uncultured Scutellospora
Lineage: Eukaryota; Fungi; Glomeromycota; Glomeromycetes; Diversisporales; Gigasporaceae
Description: SSU rRNA
Rfam family: Eukaryotic small subunit ribosomal RNA
Source: RNAcentral
AGCAGCCGCGGUAAUUCCAGCUCCAAUAGCGUAUAUUAAAGUUGUUGCAGUUAAAAAGCUCGUAGUUGAAUUUCGGGGUUCUUCCGUUGGUCAGGCUAACAAGUCUGUACUAGCGUGUAGAAUCUCUACCUUCUGGGGAACCAUCAUGUUAUUAAUUUAGCGUGGUGGGAAACCAGGACCUUUACCUUGAAAAAAUUAGAGUGUUCAAAGCAGGCUUACGUCUGAAUACAUUAGCAUGGAAUAAUAAAAUAGGACGGUGGUCCUGUUUGUUGGUUUCUGAAUCACCGUAAUGAUUAAUAGGGAUAGUUGGGGGCAUUAGUAUUCAAUUGUCAGAGGUGAAAUUCUUGGAUUUAUUGAAGACUAACUUCUGCGAAAGCAAUUUGCCAAGGAUGUUUUCAUUAAUCAAGAACGAAAGUUAGGGGAUCGAAGACGAUCAGAUACCGUCGUAGUCUUAAACCAUAAACUAUGCCGACUAGGGAUCGGACGAUGUUAAAUUUAUUGACUCGUUACGGCGCCUUAC